Molecule: ribosomal RNA, 365 nt
Filed under: Caeciliusidae gen. sp. KY382
Lineage: Eukaryota; Metazoa; Arthropoda; Insecta; Psocodea; Caeciliusidae
Description: partial 12S rRNA
Source: RNAcentral
CCCUAUUAUUUUUAAUGUAACAUUAAAUAUAAGGUAGUAUCAGUUAAGGUCAGGAAACUUAAAGAAUUUGGCGGUGUUUAUUCAUAUUAGAGGAAUAUGUUUUUUAAAUGAUAAUUCCCAAAAAUCUUACUUAAUUUUUUUAUUUUGUAUAUCUCCGUCUAAAAAAGUUUUUUAAAAAUAUAUUUUGAUAAUCUUUAAAGGUAUAAGUCAGGUCUAGGUGCAGGUUAUAUUUAAGUAAAAAUGUAUUACAAUAAAGUUAUUUAUGGAUUUACUAUGGAAUUUAGUUUAAAUAAAUUGGAUUUAAUAGUAAUAUUGUUUUUAUAAUAAUAGUUUGAAUUUAGUUAAUUAACAUGUACACAUCGCCC